This 253-nucleotide ribosomal RNA is filed under the name uncultured bacterium. RNAcentral's name for it is "partial 16S ribosomal RNA". It matches the Rfam family "Bacterial small subunit ribosomal RNA", at positions 524 to 776 of the family's 1533-position model. The record is from RNAcentral.
UCCGUAGGGUGCAAGCGUUGUCCGGAAUUAUUGGGCGUAAAGAGCUCGUAGGCGGUCUGUUGCGUCGGCUGUGAAAACCCGGGGCUCAACCCCGGGCCUGCAGCCGAUACGGGCAGACUAGAGUUCGGCAGGGGAGACUGGAAUUCCUGGUGUAGCGGUGAAAUGCGCAGAUAUCAGGAGGAACACCGGUGGCGAAGGCGGGUCUCUGGGCCGAUACUGACGCUGAGGAGCGAAAGCGUGGGGAGCGAACAGG